Molecule: ribosomal RNA, 397 nt
Filed under: uncultured bacterium
Lineage: Bacteria
Description: partial 16S ribosomal RNA
Rfam family: Bacterial small subunit ribosomal RNA
Source: RNAcentral
AUACGUAGGGGGCGAGCGUUGUCCGGAAUGAUUGGGCGUAAAGGGCGCGUAGGCGGCCUGUUAAGUCUGGAGUGAAAGUCCUGUUUUCAAGAUGGGAAUUGCUUUGGAUACUGAUGGGCUUGAGUGCAGGAGAGGUUAUCGGAAUUCCCGGUGUAGCGGUGAAAUGCGUAGAGAUCGGGAGGAACACCAGUGGCGAAGGCGGGUAACUGGACUGCAACAGACGCUGGGGCGCGAAAGAGUGGGGAGCAAACAGGAUUAGAUACCCUGGUAGGCCCCACUGUAAACGAUGAAUGCUAGGUGUAAGAGGUAUCGACCCCUUUUGUGCCGGAGUUAACACAAUAAGCAUUCCGCCUGGGGAGUACGGCCGCAAGGUUGAAACUCAAAUGAAUUGACGGGG